Molecule: unclassified non-coding RNA, 266 nt
Filed under: Hevea brasiliensis (rubber tree)
Lineage: Eukaryota; Viridiplantae; Streptophyta; Magnoliopsida; Malpighiales; Euphorbiaceae
Source: RNAcentral
GACUAAUGGUAACAGAAGCAGACGAGCAGGAUUGAAUGGCCAUGAGACUUGAUUAAAUUAUUUAAACAAAAAAUCUUCUUCUCAAAUCAUUCUGGAAAUGGUUGAAAGCUACUUGGAAACCACCUAGAGAAGAACAAUAUCAUCAAUUUGCCUAUGAUUUCACCUUGGAAUCCCUUCCCUAGCAGAUGGAUUACAAAGAAUGGAAAAAAGAUUACUUGAAAGCAGUUAUUAAAUAUAAAUAGGCCAAUUACCAAAAUGCAUCAAAU